RNAcentral lists this long non-coding RNA (350 nucleotides) under Brassica napus (rape). Its description in RNAcentral is "long non-coding RNA (BNAP_LNC019747)". The record is from RNAcentral. Lineage: Eukaryota; Viridiplantae; Streptophyta; Magnoliopsida; Brassicales; Brassicaceae.
UGUCGCGGAAAAUGAAGUUGAUUGUGCUGCCCGUAUCGAGGAGAUCCCUAGUGACGUUGAGAUCGAUCAUGAGUGGAUCGUAAAAGGUUUCCGAUUCCGAAUCUGCGUAUGAGCGUUACAACAAGGUAAGAGCAUUGGCUACGAGAGCUGUCGGCCAGAUCCCUAGUUCUAACAACCUAAGACUACAAAAACCUAGUUGAGUCGCAGCUCGAUAACAAAUAUGGAAAGUUGCAUAUUGUUUUAAUUGCUAAGUUUGCUCUGGGUAGAAAUUUUGCGCCCUUCUGCAUCUUCAACCUCGACGUCCUUAUAUAGUCCUCCUAGAGGCGGUUUUCUCUUUCCUUUUCUGCCCU